UGCCGACAGCAGAGAAAAAAAAAAAUCAUUUACCCAAAGACUCAAUUUUUUCUCUCCUCUCUCACGGCGAUUUGCCGAUUUCUGAUUUCGUUUCCUUCUGUGUAAAUCUAGAGCGUAGUCCUCCGAUUGAAGAGGUGAUUCAAGCUGGUGUUGUGCCUCGGUUUGUGGAUUAUCCACAGCUUCAGUUUGAGGCUGCUUGGGCAUUGACAAACCUUGCUUCUGGGACUUAAGAGAAUACAAAGGUGGUCAUUGAACAUGGUGCUGUUCCGAUUUUUGUUAACUGUUGGCUUCUCAGAGUGAUGAUGUUCGUGAGCAGGUUUUCAGAAAUACAAUGUUUGGACCAGAAGGACGUCCUCAUCAUUCUUGUGCAUGGCUCAGUGUGGCUAGUAGUUUCCCGGAAUGUGCUUCACUAAUAAUUCUUAAGGAGGCAAGUCCAUAAUUUAAUCUCAGUGCUUUUUACACUCUUUCCGUAGUACAUGUCUUUCACAUGAGAUUCUUGUAGUGUUGAGACCACCCAAUGAGCACCAGAUUACUCACAAUAUGACAAUAAACAAUGAAAGUGGUUAUAAAAUUGAAUUGACUCUGGUAUCAGGUUUGCAUAUGUACUAUGGCAAAUAAAGUUAUUGAUUCCAUAAGCUUCUUUUGGAUUUCAAAUCUUUAGUAUAUCAUCUUUUUUUAUUCAAACAAAGCAAUAUAGAGUUCUUUGUGUUGAAACUGAAACUGAACACUUG
Molecule: long non-coding RNA, 731 nt
Organism: Arabidopsis lyrata subsp. lyrata
Lineage: Eukaryota; Viridiplantae; Streptophyta; Magnoliopsida; Brassicales; Brassicaceae
Exons: 4
Source: RefSeq, a predicted model, not a curated record